This 73-nucleotide transfer RNA is filed under the name Anseongella ginsenosidimutans. Its description in RNAcentral is "Sphingobacteriaceae bacterium Gsoil 524 tRNA". It matches the Rfam family "tRNA". Rfam says of the family: Transfer RNA (tRNA) molecules are approximately 80 nucleotides in length. Their secondary structure includes four short double-helical elements and three loops (D, anti-codon, and T loops). RNAcentral also lists the same sequence under 3 other names. Lineage: Bacteria; Pseudomonadati; Bacteroidota; Sphingobacteriia; Sphingobacteriales; Sphingobacteriaceae. The record is from Rfam by way of RNAcentral.
GAUUCCGUAGCUCAGCUGGUAGAGCAACGCCCUUUUAAGGCGUGGGUCCUGGGUUCGAGCCCCAGCGGGAUCA